GUGCUUGCUCAGGCAGCACAUAUAAUAAACUGGAAUCGAUACAGAGAAGAUUAGCAUGGCGCCUCGCGCAAGGAUGACAUGAAAAUUCGUGAAGCGGUUCUCAUUUUU
Molecule: small nuclear RNA, 108 nt
Organism: Amphiprion ocellaris (clown anemonefish)
Lineage: Eukaryota; Metazoa; Chordata; Actinopteri; Pomacentridae
Source: Ensembl